This 250-nucleotide ribosomal RNA is filed under the name uncultured bacterium. RNAcentral's name for it is "partial 16S ribosomal RNA". It matches the Rfam family "Bacterial small subunit ribosomal RNA", at positions 95 to 339 of the family's 1533-position model. The record is from RNAcentral.
GUGGCGCACGGGUGAGUAACGCGUAGAUGAUAUGCCUUUUAGUGGGGGAUAACAGUUGGAAACGGCUGCUAAUACCGCAUAAGCUUGGUGACAUUGGAAAAACCAAGGAAAGGGGGCUUCGGCUCUCGCUAGAAGAUUGGUCUGCGUGACAUUAGCUUGAUGGUGGGGUAAUGGCCUACCAUGGCAACGACGGGUAGCUGGUCUGAGAGGAUGAUCAGCCACACUGGGACUGAGACACGGCCCAGACUCC